This 439-nucleotide ribosomal RNA is filed under the name uncultured bacterium. Its description in RNAcentral is "partial 16S ribosomal RNA". It matches the Rfam family "Bacterial small subunit ribosomal RNA", at positions 342 to 795 of the family's 1533-position model. The record is from RNAcentral.
CGGGAGGCUGCACCAGUGAGGAAUAUUGCACAAUGGGGGGAACCCUGAUGCAGCAACGCCGCGUGGAGGAUGACGCAUUUCGGUGUGUAAACUCCUUUUAUAUGUCAAGAAAAUGACGGUAGCAUAUGAAUAAGCACCGGCUAACUCCGUGCCAGCAGCCGCGGUAAUACGGAGGGUGCAAGCGUUACUCGGAAUCCCUGGGCGUAAAGGACGCGUAGGCGGGUUGGAAAGUCAGGUGUGAAAUCCUACAGCUUAACUGUAGAACUGCACUUGAAACUUCUAAUCCAGAGUAUGGGAGGGGGAGAUGGAAUUAGUGGUGUAGGGGUAAAAUCCGUAGAUAUCACUAGGAAUACCUAAAGCGAAGGCGAUCUCCUGGAACAUUACUGACGCUAAGGCGUGAAAGCGUGGGGAGCAAACAGGAUUAGAUACCCCUGUAGUC